RNAcentral lists this transfer RNA (67 nucleotides) under Furipterus horrens. RNAcentral's name for it is "tRNA-Thr". Lineage: Eukaryota; Metazoa; Chordata; Mammalia; Chiroptera; Furipteridae. The record is from RNAcentral.
GUCUACGUAGUAUAUCUAUUAUACUGGUCUUGUAAGCCAGAGAAGGGAUUUACCUUCCCCGUGGACC